This 218-nucleotide long non-coding RNA is filed under the name Lathyrus oleraceus (garden pea). RNAcentral describes it as "Pisum sativum (pea) long non-coding RNA (PSAT_LNC021046)". Lineage: Eukaryota; Viridiplantae; Streptophyta; Magnoliopsida; Fabales; Fabaceae. The record is from RNAcentral.
UCGCAGGUGUUUCGAUUCAGAUUUUUUUAGCAGCAUUUGAUAAGUAUACUUUGAAAAUAGUCUUAUCUAUCUUCUUAUUCCUUUUGUUUUAAUUUAUUGAAUUAUAAUCUCAUGAAAAUUGUUAAUAUUAUUACAAGAGAUUUGAUUGUAUAUUCUUUUACAAGUUUACUCAUUUAAAGAUCAUUUGGUAGAAUAUAAGGCAACAUGUUCUUAUUUUG